GUGGUCUAGUGGUUAGGAUACCCGCCUCUCAUCAACCGAGAGAUAUUCCCAGAACGCGGGUGGCCGGGGUUCGAUGUACGUGUGCCCGCCG
Molecule: transfer RNA, 91 nt
Filed under: Alectoria fallacina
Lineage: Eukaryota; Fungi; Ascomycota; Lecanoromycetes; Lecanorales; Parmeliaceae
Description: tRNA-Glu
Source: RNAcentral